AUUGAACGCUGGCGGCGGGCCUAACACAUGCAAGUCGAGCGGAUGAAGGGAGCUUGCUCCUGGAUUCAGCGGCGGACGGGUGAGUAAUGCCUAGGAAUCUGCCUGGUAGUGGGGGAUAACGUCCGGAAACGGGCGCUAAUACCGCAUACGUCCUGAGGGAGAAAGUGGGGGAUCUUCGGACCUCACGCUAUCAGAUGAGCCUAGGUCGGAUUAGCUAGUUGGUGGGGUAAAGGCCUACCAAGGCGACGAUCCGUAACUGGUCUGAGAGGAUGAUCAGUCACACUGGAACUGAGACACGGUCCAGACCCCUACGGGAGGCAGCAGUGGGGAAUAUUGGACAAUGGGCGAAAGCCUGAUCCAGCCAUGCCGCGUGUGUGAAGAAGGUCUUCGGAUUGUAAAGCACUUUAAGUUGGGAGGAAGGGCAGUAAGUUAAUACCUUGCUGUUUUGACGUUACCAACAGAAUAAGCACCGGCUAACUUCGUG
RNAcentral lists this ribosomal RNA (484 nucleotides) under uncultured bacterium. RNAcentral's name for it is "partial 16S ribosomal RNA". It matches the Rfam family "Bacterial small subunit ribosomal RNA", at positions 30 to 507 of the family's 1533-position model. The record is from RNAcentral.